This 74-nucleotide transfer RNA is filed under the name Shewanella frigidimarina NCIMB 400. It matches the Rfam family "tRNA". Rfam says of the family: Transfer RNA (tRNA) molecules are approximately 80 nucleotides in length. Lineage: Bacteria; Pseudomonadati; Pseudomonadota; Gammaproteobacteria; Alteromonadales; Shewanellaceae. The record is from Rfam by way of RNAcentral.
GGAGCGGUAGUUCAGUUGGUUAGAAUACCGGCCUGUCACGCCGGGGGGCGCGGGUUCGAGUCCCGUCCGCUCCG